This 486-nucleotide ribosomal RNA is filed under the name uncultured ammonia-oxidizing bacterium. RNAcentral describes it as "bacterial SSU rRNA". It matches the Rfam family "Bacterial small subunit ribosomal RNA", at positions 162 to 643 of the family's 1533-position model. The record is from RNAcentral.
GCUAAUACCGCAUACACUCUGAGGAGGAAAGUAGGGGAUCGAAAGACCUUAUGCUUUUGGAGCGGCCGAUGUCUGAUUAGCUAGUUGGUAAGGUAAUGGCUUACCAAGGCAACGAUCAGUAGUUGGUCUGAGAGGACGACCAGCCACACUGGGACUGAGACACGGCCCAGACUCCUACGGGAGGCAGCAGUGGGGAAUUUUGGACAAUGGGCGCAAGCCUGAUCCAGCAAUGCCGCGUGAGUGAAGAAGGCCUUCGGGUUGUAAAGCUCUUUCAGUUGAGAAGAAAAGAUUGUGACUAAUAAUUGCAAUUCAUGACGGUAUCAACAGAAGAAGCACCGGCUAACUACGUGCCAGCAGCCGCGGUAAUACGUAGGGUGCGAGCGUUAAUCGGAAUUACUGGGCGUAAAGGGUGCGCAGGCGGUUCUGUAAGUCAGAUGUGAAAUCCCCGGGCUUAACCUGGGAACUGCGUUUGAAACUCAAAAGCUA